CCUACGGGUGGCAGCAGUGAGGAAUAUUGGUCAAUGGCCGGGAGGCUGAACCAGCCAAGUCGCGUGAGGGAAGACGGCCCUACGGGUUGUAAACCUCUUUUGUCAGGGAGCAAGGUGCAGGUCGGGACCUGCUGUGAGAGUACCUGAAGAAAAAGCAGCGUCUAACUCCGUGCCAGCAGCCGCGGUAAUAGGGAGGAUGCGAGCGUUAUCCGGAGUUAUUGGGUUAAAGGGGUGCGCAGGCGGAGGCACAAGGCAGCGGUAAAAUCGCGGGGCGCAACCCCGUUCCGCCGUUGAAACUGUGUCCCUUGAGUGCGCGAAGGGUAGGCUGAAUGCGUGGUGUAGCGGUGAAAUGCAUAGAGAUCACGCAGAACUCCGAUCGCGAAGGCAGCCUACCGGCGAGCAACUGACGCUCAUGCACGAAAGCGUGGGUAUCGAACAGGAUUAGAUACCCGUGUAGUC
Molecule: ribosomal RNA, 459 nt
Filed under: uncultured bacterium
Lineage: Bacteria
Description: partial 16S ribosomal RNA
Rfam family: Bacterial small subunit ribosomal RNA
Source: RNAcentral